Molecule: ribosomal RNA, 385 nt
Filed under: uncultured bacterium
Lineage: Bacteria
Description: bacterial SSU rRNA
Rfam family: Bacterial small subunit ribosomal RNA
Source: RNAcentral
CAGUAGGGAGGAAGGUAGUGUAGUUAACACCUGCAUUAUUUGACGUUACCUACAGAAGAAGCACCGGCUAACUCCGUGCCAGCAGCCGCGGUAAGUACGGAGGGUGCGAGCGUUAAUCGGAAUUACUGGGCGUAAAGCGCAUGCAGGCGGCCUGUUAAGUCAGAUGUGAAAGGACCCGGGGACCGUUUAACCCGUUACCGGUAAAGUUGCUAUUUAGUAAACUAGGCGAGGCUAGAGUCUUGUAGAGGGGGGUAGGAAUUUCAGGUGUAGCGGUGAAAUGCGUAGAGAUCUGAAGGAAUACCAGUGGCGAAGGCGGCCCCCUGGACAAAGACUGACGCUCAGAUGCGAAAGCGUGGGGAGCAAACAGGAUUAGAUACCCUGGUAG